Molecule: long non-coding RNA, 392 nt
Organism: Bos taurus (domestic cattle)
Lineage: Eukaryota; Metazoa; Chordata; Mammalia; Artiodactyla; Bovidae
Source: Ensembl
GCCGAGGAAGGCAGAGGGGCGGGGCCCGCGGCUGUGGAGACCGCAGGGAGGGUCCGCUGGAGCCCGGCGCCGGCCUCAUGGGGGGCGCGUCCCGCAUUUUUUUACCUACUUUGGUGCGAUUCCCGCCAGCCUCCAAUGAUUGGCCCAGCCCCGGCACGUCAGGCCCUCGGGCGAGGGGUAAAGUCUGCGCAUUUUUCCUCCUUCCCAAGGCGACUGUGGCAGCCCUGAGUUCUCUGAGUCACCGCUAAUUUCAGCUACACAGCUGUAGAGUGAAGCAAGGAAUCUUUUUCAGAUGUCUGCAUUGCAAAGUGCUUCAUGUAUAAGUUUUGCCAGUGGACCUAGAGGUGACCCUACAGCGUCUUCUCUCCUCAGUACAGAAUCCAGUCUAGGAU